Molecule: ribosomal RNA, 303 nt
Filed under: uncultured bacterium
Lineage: Bacteria
Description: partial 16S ribosomal RNA
Rfam family: Bacterial small subunit ribosomal RNA
Source: RNAcentral
AGCAGCCGCCGCGGUAAUACAGAGGGUGCGAGCGUUAAUCGGAUUUACUGGGCGUAAAGCGUGCGUAGGCGGCUAAUUGAGUCGGAUGUGAAAUCCCCGAGCUUAACUUGGGAAUUGCAUUCGAUACUGGUUAGCUAGAGUGUGGGAGAGGAUGGUAGAAUUCCAGGUGUAGCGGUGAAAUGCGUAGAGAUCUGGAGGAAUACCGAUGGCGAAGGCAGCCAUCUGGCCUAACACUGACGCUGAGGUACGAAAGCAUGGGGAGCAAACAGGAUUAGAUACCCUGUAGUCCCUGUCUCUUAUACC